This 211-nucleotide long non-coding RNA is filed under the name Vigna radiata. RNAcentral describes it as "long non-coding RNA (VRAD_LNC018477)". The record is from RNAcentral. Lineage: Eukaryota; Viridiplantae; Streptophyta; Magnoliopsida; Fabales; Fabaceae.
AAGUUCAACUCUUCUUCUUCACGUUGGGAUCUUCAUCAUCCCACCGGCUCACUUUUCUUCGGUCUACCUUCUUGAUCACUUUUGAAUAUGGUCUUUGAAUCUCCACCAUUCCUUUUUCCUUCAGCUCCUUUACUAUCCAUUCCUUUUUCUUAAAUCUCACUUUGCUCCCCGGUAGGAGUGGAUCUUCUUUUUGUUUUGGGUGAAUGGUUCU